This 504-nucleotide ribosomal RNA is filed under the name uncultured bacterium. Its description in RNAcentral is "bacterial SSU rRNA". It matches the Rfam family "Bacterial small subunit ribosomal RNA", at positions 15 to 507 of the family's 1533-position model. The record is from RNAcentral.
GAUCAUGGCUCAGAGUGAACGCUGGCGGCAGGCCUAAUACAUGCAAGUCGAACGGCAGCACAGCAGAGCUUGCUCUGUGGGUGGCGAGUGGCGGACGGGUGAGGAAUACAUGGGAAUCUGCCCAGUCGUGGGGGAUAACGUAGGGAAACUUACGCUAAUACCGCAUGCGCCCUUCGGGGGAAAGCCGGGGACCUUCGGGCCUGGCGCGAUUGGAUGAGCCCAUGUCGGAUUAGCUAGUUGGCGGGGUAAUGGCUCACCAAGGCGACGAUCCGUAGCUGGGUCUGAGAGGAUGAUCAGCCACACUGGAACUGAGACACGGUCCAGACUCCUACGGGAGGCAGCAGUAGGGAAUAUUGGACAAUGGGCGCAAGCCUGAUCCAGCCAUGCCGCGUGAGUGAAGAAGGCCCUCGGGUUGUAAAGCUCUUUUGUCCGGAAAGAAAAGCGCCGGGUUAAUACCCUAGUGUCCUGACGGUACCGGAAGAAUAAGCACCGGCUAACUUCGUG